RNAcentral lists this ribosomal RNA (424 nucleotides) under Verrucomicrobiota bacterium. RNAcentral's name for it is "Verrucomicrobia bacterium partial 16S ribosomal RNA". It matches the Rfam family "Bacterial small subunit ribosomal RNA", at positions 355 to 776 of the family's 1533-position model. The record is from RNAcentral. Lineage: Bacteria; Pseudomonadati; Verrucomicrobiota.
UGAGGAAUAUUGGUCAAUGGACGCAAGUCUGAACCAGCCAAGUAGCGUGCAGGAUGACGGCCCUAUGGGUUGUAAACUGCUUUUAUAUGGGGAUAAAGUGGGGAACGUGUUCCCUUUUGCAGGUACCAUAUGAAUAAGGACCGGCUAAUUCCGUGCCAGCAGCCGCGGUAAUACGGAAGGUUCGGGCGUUAUCCGGAAUUAUUGGGUUUAAAGGGAGCGUAGGCCGUUUGGUAAGCGUGUUGUGAAAUGUAGGAGCUCAACUACUAGAUGGCAUCGAGAACUGUCGGACUUGAGAGCGCACAACGUAGGCGGAAUUCAUGGUGUAGCGGUGAAAUGCUUAGAUAUCAUGAAGAACUCCGAUUGCGAAGGCAGCUUACGGGGGAGCAACUGACGCUGAGGCAGGAAGGGGCGGGUAUCGAACAGG